This 208-nucleotide long non-coding RNA is filed under the name Elaeis guineensis (African oil palm). RNAcentral's name for it is "long non-coding RNA (EGUI_LNC043301)". Lineage: Eukaryota; Viridiplantae; Streptophyta; Magnoliopsida; Arecales; Arecaceae. The record is from RNAcentral.
GUAACCAUCUAGCAAUGGUGAACCGACAAUCGGAUAGGUCGAAAUGUUGCAAAACAACCUUUUAGAACCUACUGACAUAUGGUUAUCGUAUAAUUGAUCCCUUUGACCUAAAUGCUCAAGGUGACCUAGGGUUUAACUGUCAAUCCUAAUUUAGCCAACCACAUUAUAUUUCAAUCUUUCAAAUCCAUCUCAUGGAUUAUCCUGGUCA